GACGAACGCUGGCGGCGCGCCUAACACAUGCAAGUCGAGCGAUGAAAUUUUAACCGAUCUCUUCGGAGAGAAGAUAAAAUGGAUUAGCGGCGGACGGGUGAGUAACACGUGAGAAACCUGCCUUUCACAAGGGGAUAGCCUCGGGAAACCGGGAUUAAUACCCUAUGACACAUUUCCUUCGCAUGGAAGAAAUGUUAAAACUCCGGUGGUGAAAGAUGGUCUCGCGCCUGAUUAGCUAGUUGGUGGGGUAACGGCCCACCAAGGCCAUGAUCAGUAACCGGCCUGAGAGGGUGAACGGUCACAUUUGAACUGAGACACGGUCCAAACUCCUACGGGAGGCAGCAGUGGGGAAUAUUGCACAAUGGAGGAAACUCUGAUGCAGCGACGCCGCGUGAGCGAUGAAGGCUUUCGAGUCGUAAAGCUCUGUCCUAUGGGAAGAUAAUGACGGUACCAUAGGAGGAAGCCCCGGCUAACUACGUG
RNAcentral lists this ribosomal RNA (480 nucleotides) under uncultured bacterium. RNAcentral's name for it is "partial 16S ribosomal RNA". It matches the Rfam family "Bacterial small subunit ribosomal RNA", at positions 28 to 507 of the family's 1533-position model. The record is from RNAcentral.